AAGACUGCUGCUCACAAGGACCUAGAGUAAGGUGACUUAAGCCCAGAGAGCCUUCAUCAAACAAAAGCUGCACGGAGAACGGAGAGAAGGGUUCACGGCCUCUACAUGAAAUGAUACCCAGCAUUUAUUCAGCUUUUACUGAUUUGCAGGCACAGUUCUAACUGCAUUAUAUGGAUCAUCUCAUUUAAUCCUGGCAACAACUCAAUGAUGAUGAAGGUCACAUCCAUAUUAAUUGCCCUUAUAGUGAAGCCUUCCUGGAGGCCACCUGUCAGCACAUCUGGAGCUCAUGUUGCUGCUGCUUCCAACACGGCACCAUUUCCAUCUCUACUCUGACUUCAAAGACCCAUCAAGGUUGAUGAUAUUUAAUGCAUGUGAUGUGGGGAAGAAGAAAUAGUCCUUGGUGAAAUAAGUGUGGGAAAUAGGAUAUUCAAUCAUCAGGUGCAGACCCUGGAGACUCCAGUGGGUUUCAUCACUCAGGAGAGCCACAUCCUCUCCUCAGCAGAGACACACCCAUCAGAAGCCUUGAGAAAACCUCUCCCCCAAACUGGAGAAGAGGUCAUGACCACACUAUUUUUUUUUUUAAUUUUUUUUUUCAACGUUUAUUUAUUUUUGGGACUGAAAGAGACAGAGCAUGAACGGGGGAGGGGCAGAGAGAGAGGGAGACACAGAAUCGGAAACAGGCUCCAGGCUCUGAGCCAUCAGCCCAGAGCCUGAUGUGGGGCUCAAACUCCCGGACCAAGAGAUCGUGACCUGGCUGAAGUCGGACGCUUAACCGACUGCGCCACCCAGGCGCCCCGGUGACCACACUAUUUUUAAUAUCAGUGGCCAGAGAUUAAUUUUAAAUGAAGUAUAAAUCAUCCUGCUUUUAUUAUUCAACUCUAAAGGUAGAGAUUUUAAAGAAUUGCAGGCUUUGAAGAAGGUGCCAUAUGCAAAGCUAACAGAAACGUUCAGAAUUUUCAGAAAAAGCCUUAGAAUGAUCCUUUUUAAUUCAUGUGAG
Molecule: long non-coding RNA, 997 nt
Filed under: Felis catus (domestic cat)
Lineage: Eukaryota; Metazoa; Chordata; Mammalia; Carnivora; Felidae
Description: lncRNA (ENSFCAG00000050633.1)
Source: RNAcentral